This 74-nucleotide transfer RNA is filed under the name Mesostigma viride. Its description in RNAcentral is "tRNA-Pro". It matches the Rfam family "tRNA". Rfam says of the family: Transfer RNA (tRNA) molecules are approximately 80 nucleotides in length. Their secondary structure includes four short double-helical elements and three loops (D, anti-codon, and T loops). Further hydrogen bonds mediate the characteristic L-shaped molecular structure. tRNAs have two regions of fundamental functional importance: the anti-codon, which is responsible for specific mRNA codon recognition, and the 3' end, to which the tRNAs corresponding amino acid is attached (by aminoacyl-tRNA synthetases). tRNAs cope with the degeneracy of the genetic code in two manners: having more than one tRNA (with a specific anti-codon) for a particular amino acid; and 'wobble' base-pairing, i.e. permitting non-standard base-pairing at the 3rd anti-codon position. Lineage: Eukaryota; Viridiplantae; Streptophyta; Mesostigmatophyceae; Mesostigmatales; Mesostigmataceae. The record is from RNAcentral.
CAAGGUGUAACGCAGCUAGGUAGCGUGUCUGUUUUGGGAACAGAAUGCCACAGGUUCAAAUCCUGUCACCUUGA